This is an RNA transcript of Ochotona princeps (American pika), 2058 nucleotides long. It is a transcript of the gene named UTP18 small subunit processome component, with no coding region annotated. NCBI's taxonomy places the organism in Eukaryota, Metazoa, Chordata, Mammalia, Lagomorpha, Ochotonidae. The record is from RefSeq and is a predicted model, not a curated record. The transcript has 14 exons.
AUGCGCAGGGGUUUCCACGUGAGCGCCUGCGUUUCUUCUCCAAACUCCGCGAUGCCGCCGGAACGUAGGCGCCUGACGAAACCGGGCCGGAAAACCGGAAUGAGGCCGGACCGUAAGAAGCGCACGAAGGCAGCCGGUGUAGCCGGGCCCAGGACGGGCGGGCCGCCCCGAAAGGCCGCCCCUUCAUCCCAGCGGAAGGCGCCGGCGCGGCCCAGCGCGGCGGCCGCUGCGAUGGCCGUGGCGGCGGAGGAGGACGAGAGACUGCUCCGGCAGCGCAACCGCCUGACGCUGGAGGACGACAAGCCGGACGUGGAGCGUUGUCUGGAGGAGUUCAUCUUCGGCGACGUCGAGGACGACGAGGACGCGCUGCUGCGGCGCCUGCGGGGCCCGCCGGCUCCUGUUUGUGAAGACUCCGGUGACUCGGAAGUGGAAAAUGAAGCAAAAGGUGGUUUUCCAACUUCAAAGAAGCCAGUGUGGGUGGAUGAAGACGAUGAAGAUGAAGAAAUGGUUGACAUGAUGAACAAUCGAUUUCGGAAAGAUAUGAUGAAAAACGCAAGUGAAAGUAAACUUUCGAAAGAGAAUCUUCAAAAGAGACUUAAAGAGGAAUUCCAGCAUGCCAUGGGGGGCGUACCUGCCUGGGCAGAGAAUAACAAGCGGAAAACAUCUUCAGAUGAUGAAAGUGAAGAUGAAGAUGAUUUGUUGCAAAGGACUGGAAAUUUCCUCUCCACCUCGGCUUCUCUUCCAAGAGGAAUCUUGAAGAUGAAGAACUGCCAGCAUGCUAAUGCGGAACGGCCUACUGUUGCUCAGAUCUCAUCUGUGCAGUUCCAUCCGUGUGCGCAGGUGGUGAUGGUUGCUGGGUUAGACAACGCCGUGUCACUGUUUCAGGUUGAUGGAAAAACAAAUCCUAAAAUCCAGAGCAUUUAUUUGGAAAAGUUUCCAAUAUUUAAGGCUUGUUUUAAUGCUAAAGGAGAAGAGGUUUUAGCCACAAGUACCCACAGCAAGGUUAUUUAUGUCUAUGAUAUGUUAGCUGGAAAGUUAAUUCCUGUGCAUCAAGUGAGAGGUUUGAAAGAAAGGAUAGUUAGGAGCUUUGAAGUCUCUCCAGACGGCUCCUUCUUGCUCAUAAAUGGCAUUGCCGGGUAUCUGCAUUUGCUCUCAAUGAAGACCAAAGAACUGAUUGGUAGCAUGAAAAUUAAUGGAAGAGUCGCAGCAUCCACAUUCUCUUCAGAUAGUAAAAAAAUAUUUACCUCUUCAGGUGAUGGAGAAGUGUAUGUUUGGGAUGUAAACUCUAGACGGUGCCUUAACAGAUUUGUGGAUGAGGGCAGCUUGUAUGGAUUAAGCAUCGCCGCAUCCAGGAAUGGACAGUAUGUGGCUUGUGGUUCCAAUUGUGGAGUGGUUAACAUUUACAACCAAAAUUCUUGUCUCCAAGAAACAAACCCAAAGCCAAUCAAAGCUAUAAUGAACUUGGUUACAGGUGUUACUUCUCUGACCUUCAACUCUACUACAGAAAUCUUGGCAAUUGCUUCAGAUAAAAUGAAAGAUGGUGUCAGAUUGGUUCACCUGCCUUCCUGUACCGUGUUUUCUAACUUCCCAGUCACUAAGAAGAAUAUUUCUCACAUUCACACCAUGGAUUUUUCCCCCAGAAGUGGAUACUUUGCCUUGGGGAAUGAGAAGGGCAAGGCCCUGAUGUACAGGUUACACCACUAUUCAGACUUCUGAAGAGACUAUCUGAAGUAAGAAAAUCCUUUUUAUGAACGAUACUGACUUGAAGGACAUACCAUUGCUGUCCGCUUUCAGAGCUGUCCCUAGGUUGCUGCAUCGUCAGGCCGUGGGCUGGGCGUGGGCCAGGAGGCUGGCCCUGGGCCUGCCUUGUGAUUGCCUACCCAGAUGGCAGCAGUCCAGCUUUGUUUUCCGAGAUCCAGAGGAGCCCCAAGAGAAGCCAGUCCUGUCACAUCUUUUCAGAGGCCUUCCUGAAGGCGUGCUAAUUGAGGGCUAAUGAUUAUACUAGAGUCAACUUUGCUUCAGUUAACUGCACUGUUUUAAUAAACACCUGGCAGCUUU